AUCCAGGUGUCUCAUCCAGGCGAGCAACAGAUCUUCCCUACAGUUAUCAAACCUCCAUACACCAUGAAGACCGCAAUCUUCCUGUCGUGCAUUAUUGGUCUAACCAUUGCUAUUCCGGCUAAUCAUGACCAUCAACGAGUUAAACGUUCGCGUUCAUUCUCAAGCUCAGACUCAAACUCACUGGAACUAAAUCAAGUGCCUACCUCUGCACUACUCCAGCUGAUCCAGAACAUAAUUAAAACUCUGGCUGCAACAACUCCAACGACUACGACUCCAACGACUACGACUCCAACGACUACGACUCCAACGACCACGACUCCAACAACCACUACAUUGCCUACAACAAAAAAGCCAUAAAUUCAAAUAUACAAUGAUUGUAUCCUACUGUAUCAUUCCUAGUCUGAACUAACUCUUUCUCUACGACCUUAAACUUCUUAAAAGUAACGACUUCUCAAAAAAUAAUAAACUUACAGCAGGUAUCACAUGCAAAG
RNAcentral lists this long non-coding RNA (491 nucleotides) under Lepisosteus oculatus (spotted gar). RNAcentral's name for it is "lncRNA (ENSLOCG00000021999.1)". Lineage: Eukaryota; Metazoa; Chordata; Actinopteri; Semionotiformes; Lepisosteidae. The record is from RNAcentral.